CUCGAGUGGCGAACGGGUGAGUAACACGUGAGUAACCUGCCCUUGACUUUGGGAUAACUUCAGGAAACUGGGGCUAAUACCGGAUAGGAGCUCCUGCUGCAUGGUGGGGGUUGGAAAGUUUCGGCGGUUGGGGAUGGACUCGCGGCUUAUCAGCUUGUUGGUGGGGUAGUGGCCUACCAAGGCGGCGACGGGUAGCCGGCCUGAGAGGGUGGACGGCCACAUUGGGACUGAGAUACGGCCCAG
Molecule: ribosomal RNA, 243 nt
Filed under: uncultured Actinomycetales bacterium
Lineage: Bacteria; Bacillati; Actinomycetota; Actinomycetes; Actinomycetales
Description: partial 16S ribosomal RNA
Rfam family: Bacterial small subunit ribosomal RNA
Source: RNAcentral